Molecule: long non-coding RNA, 593 nt
Organism: Felis catus (domestic cat)
Lineage: Eukaryota; Metazoa; Chordata; Mammalia; Carnivora; Felidae
Exons: 3
Source: RefSeq, a predicted model, not a curated record
CUCAUCCCCUCCUCCUUCCUUGUAAUGCACAUUCCACCCACCAUCCCCUCAGGGAGAGCUGGAGCUUUUUCAAGCAUGCAGCUUGGAGAGAUUAAGGUGUUACUGCCAGCAUCUGGAGGUAUACAGGACUGAACCCAGAUGAGACCUCUAAAUAAACUCUGAAGAUCUUGGUGGAGAGGGGGAAAAGUAAAGAAGAAAUAGAUGAGCAGAGAGAACAUGAAGAAUGACGAUUUGAAAGGCGGGAGAAGAAUGACAAAGGAGAAAGAGAAGAUCAGUCUGGAAAGGCAUAUUUGUGUGCUUAUGUGCUAGCCCCUUUGGGACAUGUUGGUGAAUAAGAAAGAUGGAAGUUGCCUGCCAGAGCUUACAGUCUACUGGAGGAGUCAGACAAACAAACAGAUCUCAAGUGAGUACACUAAAUAAUGAUAAAAAAAGGUGUGGCAGCUAUGAAGAGAUAACGGAGAAGGGGAGUAUCUAAGGGACUCACUUGAGGAAAAUCCACUAUCCAGAGGUGACUUAAGUCUGAAGGAUGAGGGUUAGACUUGCAAAGAGGGAGGGAGAGCUGGCCUGACUGGGGAGUAAGAGCUAGGGGUGGG